Molecule: long non-coding RNA, 810 nt
Filed under: Prunus dulcis (almond)
Lineage: Eukaryota; Viridiplantae; Streptophyta; Magnoliopsida; Rosales; Rosaceae
Description: sRNA ncRNA
Source: RNAcentral
UCCACUUUUAUCCCUUGAUCGAAGUUUGGUGACCCAUUUUGCUUUAUGUAGUCAACUCCAUUCAAAACUCUGUUAACUUUGAUGAAUGGCAUGGGUAUUUUUGGAAUUCCAUACAUAUGAAUCAUUACUCACCAAUUAAGUGAGUGACAUGGCUAGUCCAUAUAGAACAUAAUUAAAUAUUAUAAUAAUUAAAAUAUAUAAAAAUUACCUUUAAAAAAUUACAACUAAAUAUAAUAUUUAAAAACCCUACCCAGCCGCACCAAUCCCUCCGACUCGGAUCCCACCUGAAAAAUCCUUAUCGCCGCCCAAAAAAUCCUUAAUGAAUGACUCCACAAUCAUCGUCGCUGUCACCACCACACUCACUUGUCGCGGAUUUUGAGGUCAGAGAAGGAGAUGAAGAUGGGGAUUUGGAUGCCGAGGGCUUCGGAGAAGAAGAAGUAGGCUACGAUGACGAGGGUGAAUGAGAGCAGAAGGACGAGGUCGCGAAGGAGGCUGCGAUCUUCAAUAGUGAUGAGCAUGAAGUAUGGGAAAGAGCCCUAGGAGAUGAGGACCAUGCCGUCGAGGUUGGCGGCGAUUGACUCGUAUGACGCUGUUUCGCUCAUGUUGCAGGACGUGAUCGAUGAUAGGGUCUUGAUUUAGUUCGGAAUUUUGUGCAUUUAUUAAUUUCAAAAGAAAUAAACCAAAAUACAGUGUUGGGGUUUUGAGUAGAGGAAAGAUGGGUUUGGGUCUUUCAAUUCCCCAAUUAAUGAAAUCCAUGUUUGUAAUCAUUUUAAUUUUCACUACAACUUACAUAAAAUAUAUAGAAAUGCA